RNAcentral lists this long non-coding RNA (793 nucleotides) under Fukomys damarensis (Damara mole-rat). RNAcentral describes it as "lncRNA (ENSFDAG00000028633.1)". The record is from RNAcentral. Lineage: Eukaryota; Metazoa; Chordata; Mammalia; Rodentia; Bathyergidae.
GAUCCCCAGAUUUUAUCUUCCAGAAACAAUACCAAGUUUUUGUUGGGGAUCCCAGAAAGCUCCCUAGUAGACCUAACAGGGAGAAGGUACAGAAAAGCCAUUGAGCAAACCCCUCAGACCCUUCUUUAACAAACCCCUCUUCUCCAAGAUGAAGGCCUUCACUAGACAGCAAUUCUGAAACCUCAUCUCAUGAAGGGCAAGGAAAUUCACUUAGCUGCUUCCGCAUUCCCAUCUGACUAAAGGAGAACAAAAGCUGGGCGUGGCCAACGGGGAAGAGAGCUGCCAGGAAAUACACGACACUGAGAGCGUGAGAGCUACAGAAGAUGUAGGAGGAAGGGGAGACAAGAAGCACUGAACAGACCACCCCGGAACAGGCUGUUUAGCAACUGAGGUUUAUUCAGAAGACUAGAGAACGCCUUCUCCUAUCCAUUGCCUAACAGCACUAAUGAGCGUGCAGUCUAUGGAGCUGGGAAGAUGCAGGACAAUGAUUAAAGCGUGGCAUGCCACUGCACAGUAAACAAAUACUGUCAAGGGAGUCGAAGCUCGCUUACCUAUGGGGAGUGUGUUUUACGUUGGGAGGAAAGGUGGAAGAAACUUCAUGCAGAGAAGAGCAGGCUCUGAAACACAACAGGGAAUUGUUGAAAGGUCAGCAGACGAGGAAAUUUAAGAGUGAGCUGCCGAGGGCUCCACGUCACUGCCGUUUGAGUCACUCUAUCUAGGAGCUGCCCAUGAUAGGCAAGUUUUUCACUUUUUGUCUCACAAACGUUCAAAGGAGCAGACAGAUGUUUGGAAA